Cervus elaphus (red deer) is the source of this 1526-nucleotide RNA transcript. It is a transcript of the gene named acid phosphatase 1, with no coding region annotated. Lineage: Eukaryota; Metazoa; Chordata; Mammalia; Artiodactyla; Cervidae. The record is from RefSeq and is a predicted model, not a curated record. The transcript is spliced from 5 exons.
GCGCCGGACUACGCAGGCGCACCGGCGGGCCGCUCGCAUUGCGCAUGCGCUGCGUCGGAAGCGUUCCGACGUUUUUACUGGGCGCCUCUGCGCGCGCGGGAAGAUGGCUGAGCAGGUGACCAAGUCGGUGCUGUUCGUGUGUCUGGGUAACAUCUGUCGAUCACCCAUCGCAGAAGCGGUUUUCAGGAAACUUGUAACUGAUCAAAACAUUUCAGAUAAUUGGAGGAUAGACAGUGCAGCGACAUCCACGUAUGAACUAGGAAACCCUCCUGAUUAUCGGGGGCAGGCUUGCAUGAAGAAGCAUGGUAUCCCCAUGAGUCACGUUGCCCGGCAGGUACCGUACUUGACCUUGAAAGUGCACUUGUGUGUUUUAUGUUGCAGUGGGUCAUUGACAGUGGCGCUGUUUCUGACUGGAACGUGGGCCGGUCACCAGAUCCAAGAGCUGUGAGCUGCCUAAGAAAUCAUGGCAUUAACACAGCCCAUAAAGCAAGACAGGUUACCAAGGAAGACUUUGCCACUUUUGAUUAUAUACUAUGUAUGGAUGAGAGCAAUCUGAGGGCAACGACGCGGACUUUGAGACCGUCUACCAGCAGUGCAUGCGGUGCUGCAGGGCCUUCCUGGAGAAGGUCCGCUGACCAGGCCGUCCCGCUGUGGCCCAGGCUCGUCCCCCCAGGCCAUGUGUCAACUGUCAACAGUGUCCCUUCUGAGCCAAGGCUGCAGCCCUCCCUUCAGCUUACUCGCUGUUUCUCACCUGACAAAAUAAUUGUAGAUGGAAAUCAGUCUUUGUGUUUAGCAAGAGUAAAUAAAAAAUCUUUGAUUCAGAUAGUUUAUGGGGUAAGAGUUCCUUAGACUUUGCCCCAGUUACAAACCUCCCACUUUGCCCCAGUUACAAAAACAGUGGAACAGUGGAAAUAGUGGAGCAGCACAGUAGAACAUGAUGAAGUGAAUAAGACGUCCUUCCAGGAACCCGCACUACCUCUCCCUCCGGACGGGCCCCUGCCUGCACUACCUCUUGAUGCCAGGGCCUGGCGUCCAGCAACGCUGGUCGAGUGUCACGCGCUCACAGUGCCCACGCGUGUAUUUUCAGGACAGGAAGGAGAGAUUUGUGGGAUUCACCUUUAGCACCUUCACUCCUUCUUAGUUUGUGUCUGUGUAGCUUAUUUCAUAAGGAAGUCAGCUUAUUUGUUCCCAUUUGAACCCCUUUGCCUCUGGAAAUGUAAUUAUAUCCAGGAGAAGUGUGUGCUGGUUUAUCUUAUGGUCAGUUUGGGGACUGUGUCUGCUUCUACAUGCAUAUAAUUGCCUGAAUGCCAAUUAUAGAUCACCUUGUGUAGGAAAAAGUAUUAAGUUGGAAAAAGUCCUUUUAUGUUGGAAUACUUAAAUAUUGAUAUAUUAAGUAUUCUUUUGUCAGUGCCUGGUUGUAGGGAAAUAUACAUAAUUUGUGUGCACUUUGAAAUAACUGAUCUAAAAUUCAUAUGAAUGUAUGUCAGACAAAAUUGUUCUCAAAUAAACUGGGGAAAUUAGAAAAA